AGGAAAAGGGGUGGAUUAAAGGCCAUCCCUACGGUUUUCUAAGCCACAUCUCUGCAGGGAGUGCACUGCCGUGAGUACCAAGAACAAAACACUGAGACCAGAAGCAACUUUUAUGUGACGGCUUUGUGGCUGGAAGAGCAGCAGGGGAGAGGGUUAUGGGAGGAAUGGCAGCCUGCAGCUCAGAGUUAACAGGCCUGUGUUCUGGCCUUUUCUUCUCCUCUCAGAUUACGUUCCUGCCUGCCCGGGACUCCUACACGGUCGCCCAGUCCUCUGCUGAGAAGGAUAAUCAGCUCCCACCCCCUGCGGAACUCAGCCUGAUGCUGCAGCCAUCUCCUGUUAUUGUAAUUAGAUACUGAACUAACAGACACUGGAAUCACUGGGUGCUUCUCCCCAAAUUAAACAACGUAAGGGAGGGCGGGGCGCUCUUAA
This 429-nucleotide long non-coding RNA is filed under the name Mus musculus (house mouse). Its description in RNAcentral is "predicted gene, 36208". Lineage: Eukaryota; Metazoa; Chordata; Mammalia; Rodentia; Muridae. The record is from RNAcentral.